Molecule: ribosomal RNA, 865 nt
Filed under: Travassostrongylus callis
Lineage: Eukaryota; Metazoa; Nematoda; Chromadorea; Rhabditida; Trichostrongylidae
Description: partial 16S ribosomal RNA
Source: RNAcentral
AUAAACCUUUUUGUAUUAUUUAUAGGUAUUGCAUACCAUUAAAGAAAAAUUUUAUAAAUAUAAAAUAUAGAAAUAAAGAGUAGAGUUUAUAUUAAUUAUAUUGUUUCAUAAUAUUAAUUAUAUAAAUUAGUGUUGAAAAGUCGUUCUUUAUUAUAACUGUUUUAGUAUGUGUAUUAGAAAUUUAUAUUUGUUUAUUUUUAUUUAUUAUAAUUUUAUAAGUUGAAGUAUUAUAUUUUCUGGUUUUAUAACUAUUUAUAAUUUAUAAAUUUUAUUUUUAUGAAUUAAUUAUUAAAUUUUUAAUAAUUAUAUAAUUUUUAAAUUAGUAAAAUGAUUUAGAAUUAUUUUUUUUUAUAAUAUGACUUGAGAAUUCAAAUUUUAAUCAAAUGUUUUUUAAAGACUUAGACUUUAUUUUAAAGUUUGCUUCUGCCCAGUGAUAGUAUUAAAUGGCAGUCUUAGCGUGAGGACAUUAAGGUAGCAAAAUAAUUUGUGCUUUUAUUAAGUUCCAGUAUGAAUGAAGUUAUUGGUUAAUUGUUUUCUUGUCUUGUUAUUGAAUUUUUUUUUAUAUAAAAAAUUAUAGGUGUAAUUAAACAAAGAUAAGUCUUCGGAAAUUCUUUUUUAAUAUUAAUAUUAUUUUUAUUAAUGUUAAAAAUUUUCUAGGGCAGAAAUUUAUAUAAUUUAUUAUUUCUAUUAAUAAUUUAAAGAAUUACUCCGGAGUUAACAGAAAAUCAUAUCAGAUCUAGUUCUUAUAGUAUGAUAAGUUUUACAUCGAUGUUGUAUUUAAGUAUAUUAAAAAAGGAGAAGAUUUAAAUAUUAAGACUGUUCUUCUUUUAAUUAACUUAACGUGAUAUUAGUUUAAUUCAUUGUG